RNAcentral lists this long non-coding RNA (864 nucleotides) under Fragaria vesca (wild strawberry). RNAcentral describes it as "long non-coding RNA (FVES_LNC000719)". The record is from RNAcentral. Lineage: Eukaryota; Viridiplantae; Streptophyta; Magnoliopsida; Rosales; Rosaceae.
AGUACUUGGGUGGUGUUGGAGAGGGUGGUGACUUGGGAGGGUAGUGAGGAUGCUUGGGUGGUGAGUACACUGGUGGUGUUGGUGAGGGUGGUGACUUGGGAGGGUAAUGAGGGUGCUUGGGUGGUGAGUAGACCGGUGUCUUAGGUGGUGACUUGGGGGGGUAGUAGGGGUGGUGAGGUGGUGAGUAGACUGGCGUUGGUGGUGGAGGAGACUUGUAGUGGUAUGGCUUCUUUGGUGGUGGUGGUGAGUGAUGUGGGUGGUAGGGCUUCUUGUGUGGUGGCGGGGGUGGUGGAGACUUGUAGUGGUAAGGCUUCUUCGGUGGUGGUGGAGGUGGUGGAGACUUGUAGUGGUAUGGCUUCUUUGGUGGUGGUGGUGAGUGGUGUGGAUGGUAGGGCUUCUUGUGUGGUGGGGGUGGUGGAGGAGACUUGUAAUGGUAAGGGACCUUCGGUGGUGGCGGUGAUGGAGGAGGAGGAGACUUGUAGUGGUAAGGCACCUUAGGUGGUGGUGGUGAUGGAGGAGGAGGAGACUUGUAGUGGUAUGGCACCUUUGGUGGUGGUGGUGACGGAGGUGGUGGAGAUUUGUAGUGGUAGACAGGUGUCUUUGGUGGCGGGUACACCGGAGGCUUGGGAGGUGACUUGGGAGGGUAAUGUGGGUGCUUAGGAGGAGAGUACACCGGAGGCUUAGGUGGUGACUUUGGUGGGUAAUGGGGAUGCUUAGGCGGCGAGUACACCGGUGGUGUGGGUGAGGGUGGUGACUUUGGUGGGUAAUGAGGAUGCUUUGGUGGAGAGUACACCGGAGGCUUAGGCGGUGACUUGGGAGGAUAGUAAGGAUGAUGGGGUGGUGCGUAGUGCACUGGUGGCGGAG